Molecule: ribosomal RNA, 509 nt
Filed under: Phomopsis sp. 1-25-ITS1F
Lineage: Eukaryota; Fungi; Ascomycota; Sordariomycetes; Diaporthales; Diaporthaceae
Description: eukaryotic LSU rRNA
Rfam family: 5.8S ribosomal RNA (bases 178-321)
Source: RNAcentral
UUGCUGGAACGCGCUUCGGCGCACCCAGAAACCCUUUGUGAACUUAUACCUAUUGUUGCCUCGGCGUAGGCCGGCCUCUUCACUGAGGCCCCCUGGAAACAGGGAGCAGCCCGCCGGCGGCCAACCAAACUCUUGUUUCUACAGUGAAUCUCUGAGUAAAAAACAUAAAUGAAUCAAAACUUUCAACAACGGAUCUCUUGGUUCUGGCAUCGAUGAAGAACGCAGCGAAAUGCGAUAAGUAAUGUGAAUUGCAGAAUUCAGUGAAUCAUCGAAUCUUUGGCGCCCUCUGGUAUUCCGGAGGGCAUGCCUGUUCGAGCGUCAUUUCAACCCUCAAGCCUGGCUUGGUGAUGGGGCACUGCUUUCGUCCAGAAAGCAGGCCCUGAAAUCUAGUGGCGAGCUCGCCAGGACCCCGAGCGUAGUAGUCAUAUCUCGCUCUGGAAGGCCCUGGCGGUGCCCUGCCGUUAUUGACCUCGGAUCAGGUAGGAAUACCCGCUGAACUUAAGCAUAUC